UUGGAGGGCAAGUCUGGUGCCAGCAGCCGCGGUAAUUCCAGCUCCAAUAGCGUAUAUUAAAGUUGUUGCAGUUAAAAAGCUCGUAGUUGAAUUUCGGGAUCAAUAUAUCGGUCGUGCCUUCGGUAUGUACUGGUAUUAUUGGUUUCUCCUUUCUGACAAACUAUGAUGUCAUUAAUUUGGUGUCAUGGGGAAUCAGGACUGUUACUUUGAAAAAAUUAGAGUGUUUAAAGCAGGCACACGCUUGAAUACAUUAGCAUGGAAUAAUGAAAUAGGACGUUUGACCCUAUUUUGUUGGUUUCUAGGAUCGACGUAAUGAUUAAUAGGGAUAGUUGGGGGCAUUAGUAUUCAAUUGUCAGAGGUGAAAUUCUUGGAUUUAUUGAAGACUAACUACUGCGAAAGCAUUUGCCAAGGAUGUUUUCAUUAAUCAAGAACGAAAGUUAGGGGAUCGAAGACGAUCAGAUACCGUCGUAGUCUUAACCAUAAACUAUGCCGACUAGGGAUCGGAUGAUGUUAAUUUUUUAAUGACUCAUUCGGCGCCUUACGGGAAAC
This 549-nucleotide ribosomal RNA is filed under the name uncultured Glomeromycotina. RNAcentral describes it as "SSU rRNA". It matches the Rfam family "Eukaryotic small subunit ribosomal RNA", at positions 548 to 1098 of the family's 1831-position model. The record is from RNAcentral. Lineage: Eukaryota; Fungi; Glomeromycota.